GACGAACGUUGGCGGCGUGCUUAAUACAUGCAAGUCAACUGAAGCAGUGGUAGCAAUAUCGCUGUGGAGGUGGCGCACGGGUGAGUAACACGUAGGUAAUCUGCCUUCAGGUCUGGCAUAACUCCGGGAAACCGGGGCUAGUAGCAGAUGAUGCAGCGGCUCGACAUCGAGACAGUUGUUAAAGCUAUGGCGCCUGAAGAUGAGCCUGCGUCUGAUUAGCUAGUUGGCGGGGUAACGGCCCACCAAGGCAACGAUCAGUAGCUGGUCUGAGAGGAUGAUCAGCCACACUGGAACUGAGACACGGUCCAGACUCCUACGGGAGGCAGCAGUAAGGAAUAUUGCUCAAUGGGAGAAAUCCUGAAGCAGCAACGCCGCGUGAGGGACGAAGGGCUUUUGCUUGUAAACCUCUGUAGUGAGAGAAAAAAAUCCCAAUCUUUGGGACAUGAUGGUAUCUCAAAAGUAAGCCCCGGCUAACUACGUG
This 481-nucleotide ribosomal RNA is filed under the name uncultured bacterium. Its description in RNAcentral is "partial 16S ribosomal RNA". It matches the Rfam family "Bacterial small subunit ribosomal RNA", at positions 28 to 507 of the family's 1533-position model. The record is from RNAcentral.